This 447-nucleotide ribosomal RNA is filed under the name uncultured bacterium. Its description in RNAcentral is "bacterial SSU rRNA". It matches the Rfam family "Bacterial small subunit ribosomal RNA", at positions 329 to 793 of the family's 1533-position model. The record is from RNAcentral.
CGCCAGACUCCUACGGGAGGCAGCAGUGGGGAAUAUUGCACAAUGGGGGAAACCCUGAUGCAGCGGCGCCGCGUGAGCGAUGAAGUAUUUCGGUAUGUAAAGCUCUAUCAGCAGGGAAGAAAAUGACGGUACCUGAGUAAGAAGCCCCGGCUAACUACGUGCCAGCAGCCGCGGUAAUACGUAGGGGGCAAGCGUUAUCCGGAUUUACUGGGUGUAAAGGGAGCGUAGACGGCAGUGCAAGUCUGGAGUGAAAGGCGGGGGCUCAACCCCCGGACUGCUCUGGAAACUGUACGGCUGGAGUGCAGGAGAGGUAAGUGGAAUUCCUAGUGUAGCGGUGAAAUGCGUAGAUAUUAGGAGGAACACCAGUGGCGGAGGCGGAUUGCUGGACAGUAACUGACGCUGAGGCGCGAAAGCGUGGGGAGCAAACAGGAUUAGAUACCCGCGUAU